RNAcentral lists this long non-coding RNA (279 nucleotides) under Panax ginseng (ginseng). Its description in RNAcentral is "long non-coding RNA (PGIN_LNC001513)". Lineage: Eukaryota; Viridiplantae; Streptophyta; Magnoliopsida; Apiales; Araliaceae. The record is from RNAcentral.
GUCAGAAGAAUCAAUUUGCACCCAUUGAAAUUGGGUAUUACACUUUACUGAAAUUGGGUAUUACACUUUCCCGUUUCAAAGCAAUUUGCACCCACUGAAAUUUGCACCCACUCUUUUUACACUGAAAUUGUUAAUCAAAUUUUAACCACAUAAGACUCAUAUCCUCUCAAUAUAUGUAUCUCUCUCUAUAAUAUUUCAAACUAAAUAAUAAUCUAAUUUAUAUUACUUUUAAAAAUAAAUAAUGAAUUACUUACUUAUGAACAAUUGUGAUUAAAAAAG